This 465-nucleotide ribosomal RNA is filed under the name uncultured bacterium. Its description in RNAcentral is "partial 16S ribosomal RNA". It matches the Rfam family "Bacterial small subunit ribosomal RNA", at positions 28 to 507 of the family's 1533-position model. The record is from RNAcentral.
GACGAACGCUGGCGGCGUGCUUAACACAUGCAAGUCGAACGGAAAGGCCCUGCUUGCAGGGUACUCGAGUGGCGAACGGGUGAGUAACACGUGGGUGAUCUGCCCUGCACUUCGGGAUAAGCCUGGGAAACUGGGUCUAAUACCGGAUAGGAGCCAUUUUUAGUUUGAUGGUUGGAAAGUUUUUUCGGUGUAGGAUGAGCUCGCGGCCUAUCAGCUUGUUGGUGGGGUAAUGGCCUACCAAGGCGGCGACGGGUAGCCGGCCUGAGAGGGUGGACGGCCACAUUGGGACUGGGAUACGGCCCAGACUCCUACGGGAGGCAGCAGUGGGGAAUAUUGCACAAUGGGCGCAAGCCUGAUGCAGCGACGCCGCGUGGGGGAUGACGGCCUUCGGGUUGUAAACUCCUUUCGCUAGGGACGAAGCUUUUUGUGACGGUACCUAGAUAAGAAGCACCGGCUAACUACGUG